RNAcentral lists this ribosomal RNA (451 nucleotides) under uncultured bacterium. Its description in RNAcentral is "partial 16S ribosomal RNA". It matches the Rfam family "Bacterial small subunit ribosomal RNA", at positions 354 to 796 of the family's 1533-position model. The record is from RNAcentral.
GUGAGGAAUAUUGCGCAAUGGGGGCAACCCUGACGCAGCAACGCCGCGUGAGUGAGGAAGGUUUUCGGACCGUAAAGCUCUGUCGAGCGGGAAGAAAUGCAUGGUGGCUAAUAUCCAUCAUGCUUGACGGUACCGCUAAAGGAAGCACCGGCUAACUCCGUGCCAGCAGCCGCGGUAAUACGGGGGGUGCGAGCGUUGUUCGGAAUUAUUGGGCGUAAAGAGCGUGUAGGCGGCCGAAUAAGUCAGAUGUGAAAUCCCUGGGCUUAACCCAGGACGUGCAUUUGAAACUAUUCGGCUAGAGUAGGGGAGAGGAAAGUGGAAUUCCUGGUGUAGAGGUGAAAUUCGUAGAUAUCAGGAGGAACACCGGUGGCGAAGGCGACUUUCUGGCCCUAUACUGACGCUGAGACGCGAGAGCGUGGGUAGCAAACAGGAUUAGAAACCCGAGUAGUCC